Molecule: ribosomal RNA, 246 nt
Filed under: uncultured bacterium
Lineage: Bacteria
Description: partial small subunit ribosomal RNA
Rfam family: Bacterial small subunit ribosomal RNA
Source: RNAcentral
AGAAUCAACGCUGGCGGCGUGCCUAACACAUGCAAGUCGCACGAGAAAGGGACUUCGGUCCUGAGUACAGUGGCGCACGGGUGAGUAACACGUGAAUCAUCUACCUCCGAGUGGGGAAUAACCUAGAGAAAUCUGGGCUAAUACCGCAUAACACUUACGAGUCAAAGCAGCGAUGCGCUUGGAGAGGAGUUCGCGGCAGAUUAGUUAGUUGGCGGGGUAAUGGCCCACCAAGACGAUGAUCGUGUA